Cyprinus carpio carpio is the source of this 1431-nucleotide long non-coding RNA. The record is from Ensembl. NCBI's taxonomy places the organism in Eukaryota, Metazoa, Chordata, Actinopteri, Cypriniformes, Cyprinidae.
CAGUUUAAUAUGCAGAAACAGAUUUCAUGUAAGCAAGCCAUUUGUAAGUUGAUUUCCCAGAGAGUGUAUACUCUGACUGACUUGCUGUCUAAGCAUUGCUCUUCUUGUUUGUGCAGCUAAACACAGCAACAGGGAUUCAGCCAAUGACAAGAGUUUGGAGGUAGGACAACCUGCUUUUUGACCAAUGGCUGAUGAAAUGGAAAUGAAACCUGUCUGAAUUUUGCAUUUCCAUUUGUCUGAAAGGGGCACCAUCACAAACAGGAAGUCAGGAGAGCCGUCUGUAUGCAUAAUUCAGCCUCGCCAUGUCAGCAAGUGCAUAAAAGCCUCUGAAGGGCUUGAAAAGUCAUCCAGGCAAGGAAGCAAGGCUUUGGUGUUUGUCAGAUCCAUGCUGGUGCAGGAUGCAGUGAAUGCAUCAUGCUGACGUGACUCUCUGGAAACUGCGGCUAUUUGUCAUGGGUUAGUUUUUGAGACUAUCUGAAAGCUGGCGGACACGGGGUAGAGUGUUUUUAUGUAUUUUACUACAUCGAUGGAUCAAAAGAGGAGGCUCUUUGAUGCAGGUCUUUGCUACUCUAUAGCUCACACGGAGGGUAAAGGUGAUUUCUCUCCAGACCUGGACUAAGCUUCUGAUUUUUGCUUCUAUGUGAGAUUUGAUCUAUACAAGCAAAUAUGUUAUACAAAUGUAGUUUCAACCUGAGUACUACUAACAAGAGUUGAAAGUUCAGGGCCUAGCACCGAAGUAGCUGGUACAAGUGUUAACUCUUACAAAGUGCUGGCAUAGAAAUAGAAGGAAAGUCAGGAUCUAAACACAGGUUUUUUUUUUUUUUUUUAAUGAUAAAGAAUCUGAAUAUGAACAGAAAAGAAGCAAAUGGAACACAGCUGACCAUGAAAACAGGAAAACCAGAACUUAAAGAGGAUAGAGAAUAUAAUUAGCUCUGUUUAAAACAAGUAGAAAUAAGUGGAAAUAGCCCUUUAUAUUAAAACCAUGAAAGACGGGGUGAAAUUUGGAUAUAAAUUAAAUCAUUAUGUAUUUGUUUUCCUUUCACGUAUUUGCCAUCUUAUUAUUUUCCUUUUUUUAUUGUUAUCUUUUUUUCAAUUUGUCGAUGUAUGUGUAUGUCUGUGUUUUGAUCAGUGCAUUGGCACUGUAAAGCCUUUUUACCAUGUCGAUAAAACAGAUUUGGUGGAGGAAUAGGUUUCUUGUCAUCAUAGUAGUUAGACUAGUUACAGUUGUCAGGCAGAGUUGUCUCUAACUAUUACUGCACCCACUGAACUUGCCCAAAGGUACCACGCUACAACUAAAAAAUAUACAUUAUUGUUCAGCCAAUUUUUGUCUGUGAAAUCCAACCAUUUCAAUAGGAAUCCACAUGAUCAGUUAUUUAGCUUGAGAUUUCCCCACUCAGCAACGGCAAAUUUGCAGUGUUUAUCAACAGAUGU